CCUACGGGAGGCAGCAGUAGGGAAUAUUGGUCAAUGGACGCAAGUCUGAACCAGCCAUGCCGUGUGCAGGAUGACGGUCCUAUGGAUUGUAAACUGCUUUUGUACAGGAAGAAACACUCCCUCGUGAGGGAGCUUGACGGUACUGUAAGAAUAAGGAUCGGCUAACUCCGUG
RNAcentral lists this ribosomal RNA (172 nucleotides) under uncultured bacterium. RNAcentral's name for it is "partial 16S ribosomal RNA". It matches the Rfam family "Bacterial small subunit ribosomal RNA", at positions 338 to 507 of the family's 1533-position model. The record is from RNAcentral.